This is an unclassified non-coding RNA of Macaca fascicularis (crab-eating macaque), 150 nucleotides long. It matches the Rfam family "Metazoan signal recognition particle RNA". From Rfam's summary of the family: The signal recognition particle (SRP) is a universally conserved ribonucleoprotein. It is involved in the co-translational targeting of proteins to membranes. The record is from Ensembl. NCBI's taxonomy places the organism in Eukaryota, Metazoa, Chordata, Mammalia, Primates, Cercopithecidae.
GCUGGGCAUGGUGUGGUGCAUGCCUGUAAUCCCAGCUACUCGGGAGGCUGAGGCAGGAGAAUUGCUUAAACCGGGGAGGCGGAGGCUGCAGUGAGCUGAGAUUCAGUCACUGCAGUCCAGCCUGGGUGACAGAGCAAGAUUUUGUCUCAA